Molecule: ribosomal RNA, 369 nt
Filed under: Pelobates cultripes (western spadefoot toad)
Lineage: Eukaryota; Metazoa; Chordata; Amphibia; Anura; Pelobatidae
Rfam family: Eukaryotic small subunit ribosomal RNA
Source: RNAcentral
CCGUGGUGGUGGAGGAGGAGGAUGAGGUAGCCAACACUGUGUGUGUGUAUAUAUAUAUAUAUAUAUAUAUAUAUAUAUAUAUAUAUAUAUUAAUUGGGGUAGCCCCCAAAAUAUUGGGACAUAUAAAAAAAUACAACUCUGUUCCGCAGAAUAGCUGUUGACAUUAUAGUUGCGCAGGAACGUUGACUCUAGAGAACCUCGGUCAAAUCGCACAAUCCGUGGCGGCGACUUUGCAUUCGGAUGUCAUCCAUAUCAACUUUCGAUGUCAGUUUCUGUGCCUACCGUGGUGACCACGGGUAACGGGAAUCAGGUUUCCAUUCCGUACAAGAACCCUGAGAAACGGCUACCACAUGCAAGGAAGGCAGCAGG